UCUCAAAUAAAGGCAACAGUAGUAUACCGCUGUUCAAACUCAUAAAUCCAUGGACAAAAAACAAAAUCGGGGUAACAAUCUAAAACUGAGAGAAACGCAUAAAUAUAAGAGGAGAACAACGACACAACACUACAAUGUAACUAACACACACAGAAACGGACCAAGCAUCAGACAAAAUCCCACGAGAAUAACAAAUAUAACAUCAAAACCAAAUACAUGAAUUUGGGAUAGACAAGUACCGUGACACGUCUUAUCGCAAUGUCAAUUUACACUCAAAAAAAUAAGAGAAAACAAACGACGCAACGUUAAAUUGUAACACACACAGAAACGAAC
RNAcentral lists this long non-coding RNA (333 nucleotides) under Mytilus galloprovincialis (Mediterranean mussel). The record is from RNAcentral. Lineage: Eukaryota; Metazoa; Mollusca; Bivalvia; Mytilida; Mytilidae.